This 1523-nucleotide long non-coding RNA is filed under the name Linum usitatissimum (flax). RNAcentral describes it as "long non-coding RNA (LUSI_LNC003947)". The record is from RNAcentral. Lineage: Eukaryota; Viridiplantae; Streptophyta; Magnoliopsida; Malpighiales; Linaceae.
GGAUUUCCCUCCUCUGUUUUGAAUUGGGCAAUAAAAUUUCCAAGUUUGUUUAAUGCCAUGGAUUUCGUGACUGAUAUAAAUGACCAAGUCGUCAGGGGGCAUUUAUAACAAUUUAAUUUAAUUGGUGAAAAUUGGAUAUCUAUUUCUUAUCUGAGCAGGAAUUCAAUUGCAGCUGGCCGGGAAUGAUGGACAGCACAAGGAGUUGGACAAGAAAACCCACCUCGUACUCGCUGUUGCUUGCAUUGUCAUGGCUGUCAUUAUCCUUCUCUUUGCAUCUGCUUGUUUCAUUUUUUACUGCAAGCUCCUCCACAAGAGAAGAAGAAGAAACACCAAAAACCCAGGUAAAUCACCACAUCUUCCUCCUCAUUAUUGACAAAUGGUUUACUUUCUUUCUUUCUUUUCUUUGGCGUCCUAACUGUUAGUAUGUAUGGUGUAUGAAGAUGUAGAGAAAGGGAUAUUAUUGUUCAGCAAAUUCAGUUCCUUGAGGAGGAUGCCUAGCAGCAAGAAAUCUGUUCCAUUAAUCGACUACAAGGCGCUAGAGAAAGGCACUGAGAAUUUCAUGGAGGAGAAUCUGUUGGGCAGGGGUGGAUUUGGGCUUGUUUACAAAGCUACUAUGGAUGACAACUCUGUAGUCGCCGUUAAGAAACUGGAUUGCGGGACUCAAGAUGCCAAACGAGAAUUUCUCUUGUUCUUUCUGUGUUGUUAUUUAUCAACAGUUGCUGUGUAUAUUGCAGAAUGAGGUGGGCUUGUUGUGCAAAUUUCAGCACCCAAACAUCAUUUCCAUGGUUGGUUAUGGCGUUCAUGAGAACAUGGGAUUCAUUGUCUACGAAUUGAUGCCUAAUGGCUCACUCGAAGAUCUUCUUCAUGGUAAAAAGAUCCUUCCUUUUGUUAUGGUUAGUAAAAAGAUGGCUAAUGGGUUAUUGUUAUGGUUUUUAGGGGNNNNNNNNUUCAGCUGGGUUUUUGGUGGAUUCUGGUGGUGGGUCGAGUCGAGAGCGUAUCUCUAUUUCUCCAUCUCCCCGUAUGAGUCAAGCUGCUAGAAGAAAGAAAGCAAUAACAGUCCCACAAUGAAGCAACCGUCAUUGUCUUCUCUUCUUUCUCCGGUUCCCCAGCCUGCUCUAUCUACUACUUCCAUGGCUGCUUUCUCUCCAGGUUCAGUUUUUGCCUAUCUUUUUGAAAUUGCGGGAUUUCCCUCCUCUGUUUUGAAUUGGGCAAUAAAAUUUCCAAGUUUGUUUAAUGCCAUGGAUUUCGUGACUGAUAUAAAUGACCAAGUCGUCAGGGGGCAUUUAUAACAAUUUAAUUUAAUUGGUGAAAAUUGGAUAUCUAUUUCUUAUCUGAGCAGGAAUUCAAUUGCAGCUGGCCGGGAAUGAUGGACAGCACAAGGAGUUGGACAAGAAAACCCACCUCGUACUCGCUGUUGCUUGCAUUGUCAUGGCUGUCAUUAUCCUUCUCUUUGCAUCUGCUUGUUUCAUUUUUUACUGCAAGCUCCUCCACAAGAGAAGAAGAAGAAACACCAAAAACCCAGG